AUUGAACGCUGGCGGCAUGCCUUACACAUGCAAGUCGAACGGCAGCACGGGAGCAAUCCUGGUGGCGAGUGGCGAACGGGUGAGUAAUAUAUCGGAACGUGCCCAGUCGUGGGGAUAACGUAGCGAAAGCUACGCUAAUACCGCAUACGAUCUAUGGAUGAAAGCGGGGGAUCGCAAGACCUCGCGCGAUUGGAGCGGCCGAUAUCAGAUUAGCUAGUUGGUGAGGUAAAGGCUCACCAAGGCGACGAUCUGUAGCUGGUCUGAGAGGACGACCAGCCACACUGGGACUGAGACACGGCCCAGACUCCUACGGGAGGCAGCAGUGGGGAAUUUUGGACAAUGGGCGCGAAGCCUGAUCCAGCAAUGCCGCGUGCAGGAUGAAGGCCUUCGGGUUCGGUUAAACGUUAGGUAC
RNAcentral lists this ribosomal RNA (412 nucleotides) under uncultured bacterium. RNAcentral's name for it is "bacterial SSU rRNA". It matches the Rfam family "Bacterial small subunit ribosomal RNA", at positions 30 to 447 of the family's 1533-position model. The record is from RNAcentral.